GAUGAACGCUGGCGGUAUGCUUAACACAUGCAAGUCGAACGAAGCCUUUCGGGGCUUAGUGGCGGACGGGUGAGUAACGCGUGAGAAUCUGCCAUCAGGUCUGGGACAACCACUGGAAACGGUGGCUAAUACUGGAUGUGCCCUUCGGGGUGAAAGGUUAACUGCCUGUUGAUGAGCUCGCGUCUGAUUAGCUAGUAGGUGUGGUAAAGGCGCACCUAGGCGACGAUCAGUAGCUGGUCUGAGAGGACGAUCAGCCACACUGGGACUGAGACACGGCCCAGACUCCUACGGGAGGCAGCAGUGGGGAAUUUUCCGCAAUGGGCGAAAGCCUGACGGAGCACUACCGCGUGAGGGAGGAAGGCUCUUGGGUCGUAAACCUCUUUUCUCAGGGAAGAACACAAUGACGGUACCUGAGGAAUAAGCAUCGGCUAACUCCGUGCCAGCAGCCGCGGUAAUACGGAGGAUGCAAGCGUUAUCCGGAAUGAUUGGGCGUAAAGCGUCCGCAGGUGGCGAUGUAAGUCUGCUGUUAAAGAGUCUAGCUCAACUAGAUAAGAGCAGUGGAAACUACAUAGCUAGAGUACGUUCGGGGCAGAGGGAAUUCCUGGUGUAGCGGUGAAAUGCGUAGAGAUCAGGAAGAACACCAGUGGCGAAGGCGCUCUGCUAGGCCGUAACUGACACUGAGGGACGAAAGCUAGGGGAGCGAAUGGGAUUAGAUACCCCAGUAGUCCUAGCCGUAAACGAUGGAUACUAGGCGUGGCUUG
This 761-nucleotide ribosomal RNA is filed under the name uncultured cyanobacterium. RNAcentral's name for it is "bacterial SSU rRNA". It matches the Rfam family "Bacterial small subunit ribosomal RNA", at positions 28 to 829 of the family's 1533-position model. The record is from RNAcentral. Lineage: Bacteria; Bacillati; Cyanobacteriota.